Molecule: ribosomal RNA, 912 nt
Filed under: human gut metagenome
Description: bacterial SSU rRNA
Rfam family: Bacterial small subunit ribosomal RNA
Source: RNAcentral
AGAGUUUGAUCCUGGCUCAGGAUGAACGCUGGCGGCGUGCCUAAUACAUGCAAGUCGAACGCUUCACUUCGGUGAAGAGUGGCGAACGGGUGAGUAAUACAUAAGUAACCUGGCAUCUACAGGGGGAUAACUGAUGGAAACGUCAGCUAAGACCGCAUAGGUGUAGAGAUCGCAUGAACUCUAUAUGAAAAGUGCUACGGGACUGGUAGAUGAUGGACUUAUGGCGCAUUAGCUUGUUGGUAGGGUAACGGCCUACCAAGGCGACGAUGCGUAGCCGACCUGAGAGGGUGACCGGCCACACUGGGACUGAGACACGGCCCAGACUCCUACGGGAGGCAGCAGUAGGGAAUUUUCGGCAAUGGGGGAAACCCUGACCGAGCAACGCCGCGUGAAGGAAGAAGUAAUUCGUUAUGUAAACUUCUGUCAUAGAGGAAGAACGGUGGAUAUAGGGAAUGAUAUCCAAGUGACGGUACUCUAUAAGAAAGCCACGGCUAACUACGUGCCAGCAGCCGCGGUAAUACGUAGGUGGCGAGCGUUAUCCGGAAUUAUUGGGCGUAAAGAGGGAGCAGGCGGCACUAAGGGUCUGUGGUGAAAGAUCGAAGCUUAACUUCGGUAAGCCAUGGAAACCGUAGAGCUAGAGUGUGUGAGAGGAUCGUGGAAUUCCAUGUGUAGCGGUGAAAUGCGUAGAUAUAUGGAGGAACACCAGUGGCGAAGGCGACGAUCUGGCGCAUAACUGACGCUCAGUCCCGAAAGCGUGGGGAGCAAAUAGGAUUAGAUACCCUAGUAGUCCACGCCGUAAACGAUGAGUACUAAGUGUUGGGUGUCAAAGCUCAGUGCUGCAGUUAACGCAAUAAGUACUCCGCCUGAGUAGUACGUUCGCAAGAAUGAAACUCAAAGGAAUUGACGGGGGCC